RNAcentral lists this ribosomal RNA (449 nucleotides) under uncultured bacterium. Its description in RNAcentral is "partial 16S ribosomal RNA". It matches the Rfam family "Bacterial small subunit ribosomal RNA", at positions 29 to 523 of the family's 1533-position model. The record is from RNAcentral.
AAUGAACGCUGGCGGCAGGCCUAACACAUGCAAGUCGAACGUAUCCUUCGGGAUUAGUGGCGGACGGGUGAGUAACGCGUGGGAACAUACCCUUUGGUACGGAAUAGCCUCGGGAAACUGGGAGUAAUACCGUAUGUGGUCGAGAGACGAAAGAUUUAUCGCCAAAGGAUUGGCCCGCGUUGGAUUAGGUAGUUGGUGGGGUAAUGGCCUACCAAGCCGACGAUCCAUAGCUGGUUUGAGAGGAUGAUCAGCCACACUGGGACUGUGACACGGCCCAGACUCCUACGGGAGGCAGCAGUGGGGAAUCUUAGACAAUGGGGGAAACCCUGAUCUAGCCAUGCCGCGUGAUCGAUGAAGGCCUUAGGGUUGUAAAGAUCUUUCAGGUGGGAAGAUAAUGACUGUACCACCAGAAGAAGCCCCGGCUAACUCCGUGCCAGCCGCCGCAGUAA